Molecule: ribosomal RNA, 245 nt
Filed under: uncultured bacterium
Lineage: Bacteria
Description: partial 16S ribosomal RNA
Rfam family: Bacterial small subunit ribosomal RNA
Source: RNAcentral
UACGUAGGCAGCGAGCGUUGUUCGGAAUUACUGGGCGUAAAGGGUGUGUAGGCGGUUCUCUAAGUUUGGUGUGAAAUCUCCCGGCUUAACCGGGAGGGUGCGCCGAAAACUGGGGGACUAGAGUGCGGGAAGGGAGAGUGGAAUUCCUGGUGUAGCGGUGAAAUGCGUAGAUAUCAGGAGGAACACCGGUGGUGUAGACGGCUCUCUGGACCGUAACUGACGCUGAGACACGAAAGCGUGGGUAG